CUAGUACUCCCUCCGUCCGGAAAUACUUGUCCUAAAGAUGAAUGUAUUUAGACUUAUUUUAGUUAUAGAUACAUCCAUUAUAUCCAUUUAUAGGACAAGUAUUUCCGGACGGAGGGAGUACUAC
This is a non-coding RNA of Hordeum vulgare subsp. vulgare (domesticated barley), 124 nucleotides long. The record is from Rfam. NCBI's taxonomy places the organism in Eukaryota, Viridiplantae, Streptophyta, Magnoliopsida, Poales, Poaceae.